This 459-nucleotide ribosomal RNA is filed under the name uncultured bacterium. Its description in RNAcentral is "partial 16S ribosomal RNA". It matches the Rfam family "Bacterial small subunit ribosomal RNA", at positions 338 to 795 of the family's 1533-position model. The record is from RNAcentral.
CCUACGGGUGGCAGCAGUGAGGAAUAUUGGUCAAUGGGCGUAAGCCUGAACCAGCCAAGUCGCGUUAGUGAUGAAGGUUCUAUGGAUCGUAAACCUCUUUUAUAAGGGAAUAAAGUGCGGGACGUGUCCCGUUUUGUAUGUACCUUAUGAAUAAGGAUCGGCUAACUCCGUGCCAUCAGCCGCGGUAAUACGGGGGAUCCGAUCUUUAUCCGGAUUUAUUGUGUUUAAAGGGUGCGUAGGAGUCCUUUAAGUCAGCGGUGAAAGUUUGUGUCUCAACCAUAGAAUUGCCGUUGAAACUGGGAGGCUUGAGUAUGUUUGAGGCAGGAGGAAUGCGUGGUGUAGCGGUGAAAUGCUUAGAUAUCACGCAGAACCCCGAUUGCGAAGGCAGCCUGCCAAGCCAUGACUGACGCUGAUGCACGAAAGCGUGGGGAUCAAACAGGAUUAGAUACCCCAGUAGUC